RNAcentral lists this transfer RNA (74 nucleotides) under Candidatus Dojkabacteria bacterium. RNAcentral's name for it is "tRNA-Thr". It matches the Rfam family "tRNA". Rfam says of the family: Transfer RNA (tRNA) molecules are approximately 80 nucleotides in length. Their secondary structure includes four short double-helical elements and three loops (D, anti-codon, and T loops). Further hydrogen bonds mediate the characteristic L-shaped molecular structure. tRNAs have two regions of fundamental functional importance: the anti-codon, which is responsible for specific mRNA codon recognition, and the 3' end, to which the tRNAs corresponding amino acid is attached (by aminoacyl-tRNA synthetases). tRNAs cope with the degeneracy of the genetic code in two manners: having more than one tRNA (with a specific anti-codon) for a particular amino acid; and 'wobble' base-pairing, i.e. permitting non-standard base-pairing at the 3rd anti-codon position. The record is from RNAcentral.
GCUGGUGUAGCUCAGCUGGUUAGAGCAAAUUCUUCGUAAGAAUUAGGUCGGCAGUUCGAAUCUGCCCACCAGCU